CAAUAGCGUAUAUUAAAGUUGUUGCAGUUAAAAAGCUCGUAGUUGAGUUUCUGGUGUGAUCGUCCGGAUCGGCGCAAGUCGUAUUCCAGGUAUGGUUUCGCCAUGUCUCUGGGAAAGGCUCUGCACUUCACUGUGUGGAGUUGGCCUCAGGGAGUUUACUUUGAGAAAAUUAGAGUGUUUCAAGCAAGCUCUUGCUUUGAAUACUGCAGCAUGGAAUAAUACGAUAAGACUUCGGUUUUAUUUGUUGGUUUCUAAGACUGAAGUAAUGAUUGAGAGGGAUAGUUAGGGGCAUUCGUAUUUAACUGUCAGAGGUGAAAUUCUUGGAUUUGUUAAAGACGAACUACUGCGAAAGCAUUUGCCAGGGAUGUUUUCAUUAA
This 377-nucleotide ribosomal RNA is filed under the name uncultured eukaryote. RNAcentral's name for it is "partial 18S ribosomal RNA". It matches the Rfam family "Eukaryotic small subunit ribosomal RNA", at positions 592 to 976 of the family's 1831-position model. The record is from RNAcentral.